CUUGGUCAUUUAGAGGAAGUAAAAGUCGUAACAAGGUUUCCGUAGGUGAACCUGCGGAAGGAUCAUUAGUGAAUUAGACAUGCUUGGUGUCUUCGCUUCGGCAAGGCCCUUGCUUAAAUCACAUCCUAACACCUGUGAACUGUAAGACGUAUGAUGAGGUCUUUGGCCAAGUCAUCGUCUGCCCUUUUUUAACAAACAAUUAAUGUAACAAACGUAGUCUUAUUAUAACCUAAUAAAACUUUCAACAACGGAUCUCUUGGCUCUCGCAUCGAUGAAGAACGCAGCGAAAUGCGAUAAGUAAUGUGAAUUGCAGAAUUCAGUGAAUCAUCGAAUCUUUGAACGCACCUUGCGCUCUUUGGUAUUCCGAAGAGCAUGCCUGUUUGAGUGUCAUGAAAAUAUCAACCUUGACUUGGGUUUUGUGCUCUAGUCUUGGCUUGGAAUUGGGUGCUUGCCGCUUUUACGAGCGGCUCACCUUAAAUGUAUUAGCUGGAUCUGUCUUUGAGACUUGGUUUGACUUGGCGUAAUAAGUGUUUCGCUAAGGACAUUCUUCGGAGUGGCCUCGUUUCUAGGACGCUUGUCCGCUUCCCAAUAAAAGUUCCACCUCGUGGACAUGACUUUUUUAUUAUCUGGCCUCAAAUCAGAUAGGACUACCCGCUGAACUUAAGCAUAUCAAUAAGCGGAGGA
This 684-nucleotide ribosomal RNA is filed under the name uncultured Basidiomycota. Its description in RNAcentral is "eukaryotic LSU rRNA". The stretch from base 237 to 390 matches the Rfam family "5.8S ribosomal RNA". Lineage: Eukaryota; Fungi; Basidiomycota. The record is from RNAcentral.